AGACUAAAGAAGAAUUCAAGCAAUUAAAACUUUUUAUCAUUAUAUUUGAUUUUUAAUCUAGCUUGAUUAAUUAAAUAAGAUUUUGCAACAAAGUGACAAGUAACAUAUAAUACCACCCCCCUUAAACGAUCCCCCAAAUUUAUUUCACAUAUAUAGAGUUAACGAGUUAUACAAGCAUUACAAGUAAAAAUAAAGGACAAAUAAAAAUAUAUAUAACAAUAAAAUGAACGGGGCUUCGUCCACAAUUUCUUCUAGGCAAAUCUUCAACAUCUUGAACUAUAAGUUCAAAACCUGGUAGAAGAGGUAAUGUAAAACAUAUACAAUGAGCAAAUAGUUAUAAUAUAAAAUGCUCAUAGUAACAAAUUACUUUCAUAUGUACAUAUAUAAACAAUACACAUAAGAAGUAAAAGGGACAAAGCAUAAAUGAAGACAUGUUACCACACAUAGGGAGAAAGGAUAAGAGAAAUAUCUUGGAAGCUUCCUUUUGUUUCCAACAACAACAAUGAUAGUUAUGUAAAAACGAGAUUUUAGAAUAGUAAAGAAGACUAACCAAUUACGCAGAAAAUUUUAUCACUAAUGAAGUAUUAAGCAAGGUUUCGAUCCACAAUAGCAACACAACAAGAAAUGGUCCAAAGGAUGAUUCAAGAGUUCUUACUUUUUAAAGAAUUGGAGAGGAAUAUUUAAAGUAUUUUAAAGAAUGAUCAAGUUGAAAGAUGAGAGUUGAGAGUAAUGAGAGAACUUGAAUUAAAAGUGAUUGAAUGAGUUGAGUAAGGGUCUAUUUAUAUAAUGAAGGAGAGGGCCAACGAAAAGGAAAAACCAAUCAGUAGCAAAAUAUGGAAAAUAUGCUCCCUUAAUAAAAUUAGUAAAAUCCGCACAAAAUCUUUUCAUAUACGAAUAUUUCUUUCAGUAAAAUAUCCAUACAAUACAUUUAAGGUAAAUGAAUCAAUUAAUGUAAAAUCAUCCCCUUUUUUAUGGAAUAUGUUUACCAUAAAAGAUCUGUCUACCUUUUAACUAAGGCAAGACAACCCAGAAUUUAAAUAAUAUAUAAUACCAAGUGAAAGAGGGGUUAUUUAAAGGAACAGUACAAUUUGGAUCCUAAUCACCUACCAUAAUAUGCUUUCAUAUACUAAAAUAGCACAAACAUCAUUCUAUUUUAUUUAUUUAUUUUUACUAGAGAAGGAGGCGAUUCUAAACUGUAAAAGAAAGCAAUCUAAUAAUAGCAAUUUCCUCAGACGCUAAACAAGAAGGAAUCAUCAAGAUCAGUAUUCAAAAGUUAAGGAAGUAAUAAUGUCAACAUAUAAUUAAAGGAAAUAUUGACAUUCUAACUCGAACUUUGAACAAAAAUUCAACAAGGUUAGAAUACUGCACAUUCGAAAAAUCUGAUCAUCACAAGUAAGAGCAUGAUCAUCAUCAAAAGUAUCAAGAAAUUAUAUAUGGCAAGUGACUGUCAUUUACCUAAGGUAGCAUACAAGAUGAAGUUUUUCAAAAUCAAGUUAGGAAAAUUUGUUUUUAAAAGAUGGGUUAACAGUUAAGAGAAUGUACCUGGACGGAUCAGUUAAGAUCCGUCAUCCAAAAAAUUAGAAAAACCUCAUAGCUCUGCCGGAAAAAUGAAGCGUAGAAGAAAAGGACUCGCCUCAGUCCAUCAUUUGUUGUUCGGUGCUUAUUAUCCUCUGGUGCUGCUAUUUCUUCGAGCACUGGAGUGCUGGUCCUUGCAACUCAUCUGGCGCUGCUGUAUCGGCAGAGAAAGAGAGAAGGGAGGAUGGAUUAAAAGAGGCGAGGGGAGGAGAGAAAGGAGAAGAGGGAGGCACAGAGGGGAGAAGUGAGAGGAGAAACAAGCGAUGCUGCCUAGUGAAGCUUGCCGGAGCUGUUGCUGUUCUCGCUAGGGAUGAGGAGACGAGACUGGAGAGAGGGGUGAGAGAGGAGAAGGAGGGAGGAGGAGCAACGGGAGAGGGGAGUAGAAGAGGAGAGGGGCGUCGUCGGUGGCUGCUCUCGCCGGAGCGAAUGGAGAGGAGAGAGUGGAGGUGGCGGCUGCUCUAGAGAGAGGGGAAGAGAAUGAGAUAAAAUUUUAGGUUUUGGGUCAUUUGGUGUUAAAGAGAGAGAUAGGAAAAGUU
This 2111-nucleotide long non-coding RNA is filed under the name Solanum lycopersicum (tomato). Its description in RNAcentral is "long non-coding RNA (SLYC_LNC000629)". Lineage: Eukaryota; Viridiplantae; Streptophyta; Magnoliopsida; Solanales; Solanaceae. The record is from RNAcentral.